RNAcentral lists this ribosomal RNA (450 nucleotides) under uncultured bacterium. RNAcentral's name for it is "bacterial SSU rRNA". It matches the Rfam family "Bacterial small subunit ribosomal RNA", at positions 29 to 526 of the family's 1533-position model. The record is from RNAcentral.
AGCGAACGCUGGCGGCAGGCUUAACACAUGCAAGUCGAGCGCCCCGCAAGGGGAGCGGCAGACGGGAGAGUAACACGUGGGAACGUACCUUUCAGUUCGGAACAACCAAGGGAAACUUUGGCUAAUACCGGAUACGCCCGUAAGGGGAAAGAUUUAUCGCUGAAAGAUCGGCCCGCGUCUGAUUAGCUAGUUGGUGGGGUAAUGGCCCACCAAGGCGACGAUCAGUAGCUGGUCUGAGAGGAUGAUCAGCCUCACUGGGACUGAGACACGGCCCAGACUCCUACGGGAGGCAGCAGUGGGGAAUAUUGGACAAUGGGCGCAAGCCUGAUCCAGCCAUGCCGCGUGGAUGAUGAAGGCCUUAGGGUUGUAAAGUCCUUUUAACGGGGAAGAUAAUGACGGUACCCGUAGAAUAAGCCCCGGCUAACUUCGUGCCAGCCGCCGCCGUAACAC